CACGUAGGGGGCGAGCGUUGUCCGGAUUUAUUGGGCGUAAAGAGCUCGUAGGCGGCUCGGUAAGUGAGGUGUGAAAACUCCAGGCUCAACCUGGAGACGCCACCUCAUACUGCCGUGGCUAGAGUCCGGUAGGGGAGCAUGGAAUUCCUGGUGUAGCGGUGAAAUGCGCAGAUAUCAGGAAGAACACCCGUGGCGAAGGCGGUUCUCUGGGACGGUACUGACGCUGAGACGCGAAAGCGUGGGGAGCGAACAGG
This 254-nucleotide ribosomal RNA is filed under the name uncultured bacterium. RNAcentral describes it as "partial 16S ribosomal RNA". It matches the Rfam family "Bacterial small subunit ribosomal RNA", at positions 524 to 776 of the family's 1533-position model. The record is from RNAcentral.